Long non-coding RNA from Xenopus laevis (African clawed frog), 3286 nucleotides. RefSeq lists it as uncharacterized. The record is from RefSeq and is a predicted model, not a curated record. NCBI's taxonomy places the organism in Eukaryota, Metazoa, Chordata, Amphibia, Anura, Pipidae. The transcript has 2 exons.
AACCCUUAUUGCUUGUUUCUUUGUUUGAAGAUACAAGAUACAGUUGCCCAAUAUUUUGGCUUCCAUAGCUAGAGAAAGAACAAUAAGUGACUGAAAAAGAGGGAAGAUUGCUCGCUUGUUUGGUUGAAAAUACAUUGAUGAAGACCUUGUUGUCCAAUAUUUUGGCUACAAUACCUAGAGAAAGAGCCCCCAGUAUCUGAAGGGAUGGUGAGAGAUUGUUGGGUUCUUUGGUUGAAGAUAUAAUGAAUUUCCAGUUGCCAUUAAUAUGGCUUUCAUAGGUAGAGGAAGAACCCUUAAUAACUGAGAAAAAGCAAAGGUUGUUUGGUUGAAGAUACAAUUAUGAAGGCCUAGUUGUCCAAUAUUUUGGCUACAAUAGCAAUAAAAAAGCCAUCAGUGUGUGUGAAAGAGGGAAAUUGUUGGGUUUUGUGGUAAAAGAUACAAAGAUGAAGGCCCAGUUGCUCAAUGUUUUGACUACAGUCGCUACAGACAGACCAAUAACUUUAGGGAAGGGGAGAGAUUGUUGGGUUCUUUGGUUGGAGAUACAAUGAAGAUGGAGUUGCCCAAUAUUUUGGCUUCCAUAGCUAGAGAAAGAACCCUUAGUGACUGAAAAAGAGAGAAGAUUGUUGGGUUGUUUGGCAGAAUAUACAAUAAUGAAGACCCAGCUACCCAAUCUUAUGGUUACAAUAGCUAGAGAAAGAUUCCUCAGUGCUUGGUUUUUGUGCUUUUCAAUGUUUAUUUUUUCAAUUUGUCCGUUAUUAUGGUUAUGGUAACAUUAUUUUCAGGUUGGGGAAAGACCAACCUCAGCUUUUUGUAAGAGACAACUUAAGACCUUGACAAAUUCAUUUUACUCCUCUAGGAUCAACUUAUACCUUUAUUAUCUUAAAGGUUCUUAAAUGUAUCUCCUGUAUCAGCCAUCACAGCUUUAAUAUUUAGCUGAAAAGGACAACUUGUAUUUUAUGACACUUAUAUGUCCUUUCCCGCAUUCACAAGACACAAAUAUGUACUUAUGUGACUCUGAAAAUAAACUGUUCCCUUCAGCAUGUAUUGACCUUGGCAGUACUGGCCCAAAUUAAUCAUAUGCUUCACAUACACCUUUUUUCUGUUCUGUAAACAACAAGCCUUGCUUUAUAACUCAUUCUGUAUCCCUUUAAUUAUUUAGUUGCGCUUUGAAGAACACCUUCAAGAGAAAAAUAUCCUUUUUUUAUGAAUACAGGUGUAUCAAAUAUAUCAUUUUACUAUCAGAGGCAGAAUGGAGAGAUCACCAAGACCAGUAAUGGUCAUCUGUGAAAGUAACAUAUGGGCUCAACUCAUGGAUAGCUGAACUUACAAUAUGUAGGGCAACCUAGGAGAUGAACUGAACUAUGUAGCUAGUUGGUUUACACUGUAUGUCAAUGAUAUCGAGUUGGUAUCUAGUAGAGUUAAGUCAAAAGCUACUGGACUUGACCACUCAUUCAACCAGCUUCUUCAGUUGAAUUGACUUAACUCUACUAGAUACUCUAUAUCAUGACCUGGAUGAACCUUCAUAGAGUUGACUAAUGUCUCAACGUAUAGCCUUGCCAUCAUUUCAGUCAAUUGUGGCAUACCCCAGCUACCUCCAUUGCAAGUUGAGUCUCACAACUGCCUUCUUACCUCUUCAGGCACUUUUUUUGGGGGGUAAGAAGAGGUCCCAGGUUUUCUAGAGUACUACUUUACUCUCAUACACUAUUGUCUCUUAAAAAAGGAACCACAUAUAACUAUCCCUUAUUGGUGGCUUUUGACUGUCCUGCAGAAAUGCUGCAUUGUUUACCCCAUUCAUGAUUACCAAUACAUCAAGAGUCUUCUCUAGCCAUGCUAGGGUUGUAAAUGCUACUCGCCAAGCUUUGAAUCCAAUGUAAGAUGAAGAUACCCAAGCUUAGAAUCCAAUCUAAGAUGAAGAUACAGUUUUUGGGCUACUUACUUAUAUCCCAUUCCAUGUAUCUCCUCAUUGGCCACAGUCUCUACAGGAAUGAAUUAGAUAGGACGUCCCUAACUGCCCUGUUCCCAUCCUCUGAGAUUCCAGACACUGAGAAUUCACAAGGUUUUAAAAGUUGCUACAGAAUGAGGUCAAAACUGAUAUGACUUAAGGACACCUGAAAUGAUACGUGACCCUUGUAUCACACACCAUGCAAAGAACUGAAUUUCUGAUUCUGCCAGCUCAGUGUGGGUCGCUGUCCUCAAAAAUAUCAGCAUGCACCACUGGUUACCCCCAGGCUUAUUUCUCUUUAGGAUUCUACCAACUCUUAUACGCUGAGCUUUGAAGACAACAAGUGCUUCAGGACAGGUUCUGCAAGCAGGAGUUAUGAUAUCGAGGAGACAGCAUUUCCACAUUGCCAGGAUCAUUGUAUUUAUUGCAUCCAAGCCGAACAGCCAAAGGCAGCUGACUAAGAAGAAGCUGCCCGGCUCCCCCACGCUGAUUCCCUUCCACACUUCUCCCAGCUGGAAGUUUCAUAUCAUCGGCCUGUCCAAUUGAUUCUGUAAGGCAAUUAAAGGGAGCGUGUGGGGUGAGACGGUGUAGAGAAACAAUUACAGGUUGGUUUUAUGCUUGCCAUUCACUAUUAGGAGGUCAGACAUGACAGAUUCCGAAUAAACACCAAACAACUUCGGCAGGAAUGUUGGAGAUGGCCCAGCUGAUACCUUCAGUGGCUCUUCUGUUGAGGGAUUAUAGUCUCUCCAUUUUCAUUUGUUCAGGCUUUGUUUCAAUUAAAGGCAGGAGAAGCGAUGGAAAGCAGAUCAGUGGCUGGCAGAAAACGAAUGCAACUGUAAUAGUGUUCCUUUACAUUGUUACUGAGGUUGAAUAAAAGAUACAAGUGCCUCCAAGUUAAGCCUUUGAGAUAGAGGUUGAUGAUGGCGUUGACCUGAAGGAAACAAAAAUACUUAUUAAUUUUGCUUCUAGAGUGGAAAAUAAUGGAGAAAAAAUGACCAAUGGAUUUAAAGAAAAAUAAAUGUUACCCUGACGUUGCACAAAGGAGGAUUUAUUACACGUCUCAGUGGGACGACAGGUGAUAAAAGAGGGAAAAAGAGCGUCAUUAAUCAUGAAUGAGAUCCAGAGCGUGGAAUUGCGUCUGUGAGUCCAGCAAAAAAAAAAAAAAGAAUGAUGCUCCUUGCAGACGUUUUCUGCCCACUGAAUUAUUAAUAAGCACCAAAAGAAAAGUGAGAGGCUUCUUAUUUCUACAUUGAAGGGUCCAGGUUGGUGUCAGCGAAUAAUGUAUCAAUGUUUGUAAAGAGACGGUGGCAGCAUAAUGAAUAAUAAAUUUCCUUUUAUUACCGA